GGUAGUCCACGCCGUAAACGAUGUCGACUUGGAGGUUGUGCCCUUGAGGCGUGGCUUCCGGAGCUAACGCGUUAAGUCGACCGCCUGGGGAGUACGGCCGCAAGGUUAAAACUCAAAUGAAUUGACGGGGGCCCGCACAAGCGGUGGAGCAUGUGGUUUAAUUCGAUGCAACGCGAAGAACCUUACCUACUCUUGACAUCCAGAGAACUUAGCAGAGAUGCUUUGGUGCCUUCGGGAACUCUGAGACAGGUGCUGCAUGGCUGUCGUCAGCUCGUGUUGUGAAAUGUUGGGUUAAGUCCCGCAACGAGCGCAACCCUUAUCCUUUGUUGCCAGCGGUUAGGCCGGGAACUCAAAGGAGACUGCCAGUGAUAAACUGGAGGAAGGUGGGGAUGACGUCAAGUCAUCAUGGCCCUUACGAGUAGGGCUGCACACGUGCUACAAUGGCGCAUACAAAGAGAAGCGACCUCGCGAGAGCAAGCGGACCUCAUAAAGUGCGUCGUAGUCCGGAUUGGAGUCUGCAACUCGACUCCAUGAAGUCGGAAUCGCUAGUAAUCGUAGAUCAGAAUGCUACAGUGAAUACGUUCCCGGGCCUUGUACACACCGCCCGUCACACCAUGGGAGUGGGUUGCAAAAGAAGUAGGUAGCUUAACCUUCGGGAGGGCGCUUACCACUUUGUGAUUCAUGACUGGGGUGAAGUCGUAACAAGGUAACCGUAGGGGGAACCUGC
RNAcentral lists this ribosomal RNA (727 nucleotides) under uncultured bacterium. RNAcentral's name for it is "bacterial SSU rRNA". It matches the Rfam family "Bacterial small subunit ribosomal RNA", at positions 789 to 1515 of the family's 1533-position model. The record is from RNAcentral.